This 601-nucleotide ribosomal RNA is filed under the name Serratia marcescens. RNAcentral describes it as "bacterial SSU rRNA". It matches the Rfam family "Bacterial small subunit ribosomal RNA", at positions 830 to 1430 of the family's 1533-position model. Lineage: Bacteria; Pseudomonadati; Pseudomonadota; Gammaproteobacteria; Enterobacterales; Yersiniaceae. The record is from RNAcentral.
CCUUGAGGCGUGGCUUCCGGAGCUAACGCGUUAAAUCGACCGCCUGGGGAGUACGGCCGCAAGGUUAAAACUCAAAUGAAUUGACGGGGGCCCCGCACAAGCGGUGGAGCAUGUGGUUUAAUUCGAUGCAACGCGAAGAACCUUACCUACUCUUGACAUCCAGAGAACUUUCCAGAGAUGGAUUGGUGCCUUCGGGAACUCUGAGACAGGUGCUGCAUGGCUGUCGUCAGCUCGUGUUGUGAAAUGUUGGGUUAAGUCCCGCAACGAGCGCAACCCUUAUCCUUUGUUGCCAGCGGUUCGGCCGGGAACUCAAAGGAGACUGCCAGUGAUAAACUGGAGGAAGGUGGGGAUGACGUCAAGUCAUCAUGGCCCUUACGAGUAGGGCUACACACGUGCUACAAUGGCGUAUACAAAGAGAAGCGACCUCGCGAGAGCAAGCGGACCUCAUAAAGUAUGUCGUAGUCCGGAUUGGAGUCUGCAACUCGACUCCAUGAAGUCGGAAUCGCUAGUAAUCGUAGAUCAGAAUGCUACGGUGAAUACGUUCCCGGGCCUUGUACACACCGCCCGUCACACCAUGGGAGUGGGUUGCAAAAGAAGUAUU